Molecule: ribosomal RNA, 476 nt
Filed under: uncultured bacterium
Lineage: Bacteria
Description: bacterial SSU rRNA
Rfam family: Bacterial small subunit ribosomal RNA
Source: RNAcentral
AUUGAACGCUGGCGGCAUGCCUUACACAUGCAAGUCGAACGGCAGCACGGGAGCAAUCCUGGUGGCGAGUGGCGAACGGGUGAGUAAUAUAUCGGAACGUGCCCAGUCGUGGGGGAUAACGCAGCGAAAGUUGUGCUAAUACCGCAUACGAUCUAUGGAUGAAAGCGGGGGAUCGCAAGACCUCGCGCGAUUGGAGCGGCCGAUAUCAGAUUAGGUUGUUGGUGAGGUAAAAGCUCACCAAGCCUGCGAUCUGUAGCUGGUCUGAGAGGACGACCAGCCACACUGGAACUGAGACACGGUCCAGACUCCUACGGGAGGCAGCAGUGGGGAAUUUUGGACAAUGGACGAAAGUCUGAUCCAGCAAUGCCGCGUGCAGGACGAAGGCCUUCGGGUUGUAAACCUCUUUCAGUCAGGGAAGAAGCGAAAGUGACGGUACCUGCAGAAGAAGCACCGGCUAACUACGUGCCAGCAACCGG